UGCUCGAUGAUCCAAAACGGUUAU
RNAcentral lists this non-coding RNA (24 nucleotides) under Arabidopsis thaliana (thale cress). Lineage: Eukaryota; Viridiplantae; Streptophyta; Magnoliopsida; Brassicales; Brassicaceae. The record is from RNAcentral.